CCUACGGGAGGCAGCAGUGGGGAAUCUUGCACAAUGGGGGAAACCCUGAUGCAGCGAUGCCGCGUGAGUGAAGAAGGCCCUUGGGUUGUAAAACUCUUUCGUCGGGGAAGAAAAUGACUGUACCCGAAUAAGAAGGUCCGGCUAACUUCGUGCCAGCAGCCGCGGUAAUACGAAGGGACCUAGCGUAGUUCGGAAUUACUGGGCUUAAAGAGCUCGUAGGUGGUUAAAAAAGUUGAUGGUGAAAUCCCAAGGCUCAACCUUGGAACUGCCAUCAAAACUUUUUAGCUAGAGUGUGAUAGAGGUAAGUGGAAUUUCUAGUGUAGAGGUGAAAUUCGUAGAUAUUAGAAAGAACACCAAAUGCGAAGGCAACUUACUGGGUCACUACUGACACUGAGGAGCGAAAGCAUGGGUAGCGAAGAGGAUUAGAUACCCUUGUAGUC
This 440-nucleotide ribosomal RNA is filed under the name uncultured bacterium. RNAcentral's name for it is "bacterial SSU rRNA". It matches the Rfam family "Bacterial small subunit ribosomal RNA", at positions 338 to 795 of the family's 1533-position model. The record is from RNAcentral.